GACGAACGCUGGCGGCGUGCUUAACACAUGCAAGUCGAACGGAAAGGCCCUGCUUUUGUGGGGUGCUCGAGUGGCGAACGGGUGAGUAACACGUGAGUAACCUGCCCUUGACUUUGGGAUAACUUCAGGAAACUGGGGCUAAUACCGGAUAGGAGCUCCUGCUGCAUGGUGGGGGUUGGAAAGUUUCGGCGGUUGGGGAUGGACUCGCGGCUUAUCAGCUUGUUGGUGGGGUAGUGGCUUACCAAGGCUUUGACGGGUAGCCGGCCUGAGAGGGUGACCGGCCACAUUGGGACUGAGAUACGGCCCAGACUCCUACGGGAGGCGGCAGUGGGGAAUAUUGCACAAUGGGCGGAAGCCUGAUGCAGCAACGCCGCGUGCGGGAUGACGGCCUUCGGGUUGUAAACCGCUUUCGCCUGUGACGAAGCGUGAGUGACGGUAAUGGGUAAAGAAGCACCGGCUAACUACGUGCCAGCAGCCGCGGUGAUACGUAGGGUGCGAGCGUUGUCCGGAUUUAUUGGGCGUAAAGGGCUCGUAGGUGGUUGAUCGCGUCGGAAGUGUAAUCUUGGGGCUUAACCCUGAGCGUGCUUUCGAUACGGGUUGACUUGAGGAAGGUAGGGGAGAAUGGAAUUCCUGGUGGAGCGGUGGAAUGCGCAGAUAUCAGGAGGAACACCAGUGGCGAAGGCGGUUCUCUGGGCCUUUCCUGACGCUGAGGAGCGAAAGCGUGGGGAGCGAACAGGCUUAGAUACCCUGGUAGUCCACGCUGUAAACGGUGGGUACUAGGUGUGGGGUCCAUUCCACGGGUUCCGUGCCGUAGCUAACGCUUUAAGUACCCCGCCUGGGGAGUACGGCCGCAAGGCUAAAACUCAAAGGAAUUGACGGGGCCCCGCACAAGCGGCGGAGCAUGCGGAUUAAUUCGAUGCAACGCGUAGAACCUUACCUGGGUUUGACAUGGAUCGGGAGUGCUCAGAGAUGGGUGUGCCUCUUUUGGGGUCGGUUCACAGGUGGUGCAUGGCUGUCGUCAGCUCGUGUCGUGAGAUGUUGGGUUAAGUCCCGCAACGAGCGCAACCCUUGUUCACUGUUGCCAGCACGUUAUGGUGGGGACUCAGUGGAGACCGCCGGGGUCAACUCGGAGGAAGGUGGGGACGACGUCAAGUCAUCAUGCCCCUUAUGUCCAGGGCUUCACGCAUGCUACAAUGGCUGGUACAGAGAGUGGCGAGCCUGUGAGGGUGAGCGAAUCUCGGAAAGCCGGUCUCAGUUCGGAUUGGGGUCUGCAACUCGACCUCAUGAAGUCGGAGUCGCUAGUAAUCGCAGAUCAGCAACGCUGCGGUGAAUACGUUCCCGGG
Molecule: ribosomal RNA, 1343 nt
Filed under: uncultured bacterium
Lineage: Bacteria
Description: 16S ribosomal RNA
Rfam family: Bacterial small subunit ribosomal RNA
Source: RNAcentral